RNAcentral lists this ribosomal RNA (460 nucleotides) under uncultured bacterium. RNAcentral describes it as "partial 16S ribosomal RNA". It matches the Rfam family "Bacterial small subunit ribosomal RNA", at positions 338 to 795 of the family's 1533-position model. The record is from RNAcentral.
CCUACGGGAGGCAGCAGUGAGGAAUAUUGGUCAAUGGACGAGAGUCUGAACCAGCCAAGUAGCGUGAAGGAUGACUGCCCUAUGGGUUGUAAACUUCUUUUAUAAAGGAAUAAAACGAGGCACGUGUGCCUUUUUGCAUGUACUUUAUGAAUAAGGAUCGGCUAACUCCGUGCCAGCAGCCGCGGUAAUACGGAGGAUCCGAGCGUUAUCCGGAUUUAUUGGGCUUAAAGGGAGCGUAGAUGGGUUGUUAAGUCAGUUGUGAAAGUUUGCGGCUCAACCGGAAAAUUGCAAUUGAUACUGGCAGUCUUGAGUACAGUUGAGGUAAGCGGAAUUCGUGGUGUAGCGGUGGAAUGCUUAGAUAUCACGAAGAACCCCGAUUGCGAAGGCAGCUUACUAAACUGUGACUGACAUUGAUGCUCGAAAGUGUGGGUAUCAAACAGGAUUAGAUACCCGGGUAGUC